RNAcentral lists this ribosomal RNA (274 nucleotides) under uncultured bacterium. RNAcentral describes it as "partial 16S ribosomal RNA". It matches the Rfam family "Bacterial small subunit ribosomal RNA", at positions 523 to 796 of the family's 1533-position model. The record is from RNAcentral.
AUACGGAGGGUGCAAGCGUUACUCGGAAUCACUGGGCGUAAAGCGCGCGCAGGCGGCCAUUUAAGUUGGAUGUGAAAGCCUACGGCUCAACCGUAGAACUGCAUCCAAAACUAUUUGGCUAGAGUGUGGGAGAGGAAGAUGGAAUUAGUUGUGUAGGGGUAAAAUCCGUAGAGAUAACUAGGAAUACCAAAAGCGAAGGCAAUCUUCUGGAACACUACUGACGCUGAGGCGCGAAAGCGUGGGGAGCAAACGGGAUUAGAAACCCUUGUAGUCC